CCCGGUCACCUUGCAACGGACCUUGCCUUGUUUCCAUUCAUUUCCCAGAGCUGUCAGAUCAGAUUUCCACAAAGUGCUUGGCGGGGACCGGAGGUGUUCAUGGCCUCAAAAUGCUCACGUCUGCAAGUCCAAGAUCCAAGCCCAGCGUGGCUGAUUCUUCUCAGCAGCUCCUGGUCUCUCUCUUAACUGCCAGUUUGUGUAAAAUGGCGGGGGUUGGGGGAGAUGACUUAUGGAAGCUUAGUCUUCAUGACACCCUCUGUCAGUGUCCAGACGUCCGUUCGGUACGGAUGUCCGUCAUACUGUGUUUGAAGACCACCCUCCUAGUGUGGCUGCACCUUAAAUAGUUCCAUGUGCAGUGGUCUACUUCACACAGGGCCCUCCUCUAGGUUCUGGUGAUAUGGCUUUAUGUCUGUAAGUCUCCAGAGGACACAGUCUAAUUUAUUAGGGACUCCCCAAUGGACGCUGUUGGCAGACUGAUGUACAUUUUUGGCAGAGGAGAAAAAAAGGUGUUUCAUAUUUCAAUGAGAAGAUUGCUUUACUUUCAGACUUACAGGAGGUUGUGGGAAUAGCCUAAGGGAUUUCCAAAUGCCUUUCUUUCAGAUUCCCCAAAUGUUAGCAGUUUCCUUAGGUUGCCCUGGCGUUCUCUCUGUCUGAAUACUUCGGAUACCCUUUCCUUUGCAAAUCUCCAAAAAUAUUUGCCAAGCUCUUGUCUAAAAAACAUGGACUU
This 727-nucleotide long non-coding RNA is filed under the name Rattus norvegicus (Norway rat). Its description in RNAcentral is "long non-coding RNA NONRATT001951". The record is from RNAcentral. Lineage: Eukaryota; Metazoa; Chordata; Mammalia; Rodentia; Muridae.